GACGAACGCUGGCGGCAUGCCUAAUACAUGCAAGUCGAGCGAACAGAUGAAGUGCUUGCACUUCUGACGUUAGCGGCGAACGGGUGAGUAACACGUAAGGAAUCUACCUAUAAGCGGGGAUAACAUUCGGAAACGGGUGCUAAUACCGCAUAAUAUCUUCUUCCGCAUGGAAGAAGAUUGAAAGACGGCUCUGCUGUCACUUAUAGAUGACCUUGCGGUGCAUUAGUUCGUUGGUGGGGUAAUGGCCUACCAAGACGAUGAUGCAUAGCCCACCUCGGAGGGUGAUCGGACACAUGGGGACUGGGAAGCGGCCCGAGCUCCGCAGGGAGGCAGCAGUAGGGAAUCUUCCGCAAUGGGCGAAAGCCUGACGGAGCAAUGCCGCGUGAGUGAAGAAGGCCUUCGGAUCGUAAAACUCUGUUAUAAGAGAAGAACAAAUUGUAGAGUAACUGCUACAGUCUUGACGGUAUCUUAUCAGAAAGCCACGGCUAACUACUUGCCAGCCGCCGCCGUAA
Molecule: ribosomal RNA, 512 nt
Filed under: uncultured bacterium
Lineage: Bacteria
Description: partial 16S ribosomal RNA
Rfam family: Bacterial small subunit ribosomal RNA
Source: RNAcentral